UUAAGCGACUAAGCGUACACGGUGGAUGCCCUGGCAGUCAGAGGCGAUGAAGGACGUGCUAAUCUGCGAUAAGCGUCGGUAAGGUGAUAUGAACCGUUAUAACCGGCGAUUUCCGAAUGGGGAAACCCAGUGUGUUUCGACACACUAUCAUUAACUGAAUCCAUAGGUUAAUGAGGCGAACCGGGGGAACUGAAACAUCUAAGUACCCCGAGGAAAAGAAAUCAACCGAGAUUCCCCCAGUAGCGGCGAGCGAACGGGGAGGAGCCCAGAGCCUGAAUCAGUGUGUGUGUUAGUGGAAGCGUCUGGAAAGGCGCGCGAUACAGGGUGACAGCCCCGUACACAAAAAUGCACAUGCUGUGAGCUCGAUGAGUAGGGCGGGACACGUGGUAUCCUGUCUGAAUAUGGGGGGACCAUCCUCCAAGGCUAAAUACUCCUGACUGACCGAUAGUGAACCAGUACCGUGAGGGAAAGGCGAAAAGAACCCCGGCGAGGGGAGUGAAAAAGAACCUGAAACCGUGUACGUACAAGCAGUGGGAGCCUCUUUUAUGGGGUGACUGCGUACCUUUUGUAUAAUGGGUCAGCGACUUAUAUUCUGUAGCAAGGUUAACCGAAUAGGGGAGCCGAAGGGAAACCGAGUCUUAACUGGGCGUUAAGUUGCAGGGUAUAGACCCGAAACCCGGUGAUCUAGCCAUGGGCAGGUUGAAGGUUGGGUAACACUAACUGGAGGACCGAACCGACUAAUGUUGAAAAAUUAGCGGAUGACUUGUGGCUGGGGGUGAAAGGCCAAUCAAACCGGGAGAUAGCUGGUUCUCCCCGAAAGCUAUUUAGGUAGCGCCUCGUGAAUUCAUCUCCGGGGGUAGAGCACUGUUUCGGCAAGGGGGUCAUCCCGACUUACCAACCCGAUGCAAACUGCGAAUACCGGAGAAUGUUAUCACGGGAGACACACGGCGGGUGCUAACGUCCGUCGUGAAGAGGGAAACAACCCAGACCGCCAGCUAAGGUCCCAAAGUCAUGGUUAAGUGGGAAACGAUGUGGGAAGGCCCAGACAGCCAGGAUGUUGGCUUAGAAGCAGCCAUCAUUUAAAGAAAGCGUAAUAGCUCACUGGUCGAGUCGGCCUGCGCGGAAGAUGUAACGGGGCUAAACCAUGCACCGAAGCUGCGGCAGCGACACUAUGUGUUGUUGGGUAGGGGAGCGUUCUGUAAGCCUGUGAAGGUGUACUGUGAGGUAUGCUGGAGGUAUCAGAAGUGCGAAUGCUGACAUAAGUAACGAUAAAGCGGGUGAAAAGCCCGCUCGCCGGAAGACCAAGGGUUCCUGUCCAACGUUAAUCGGGGCAGGGUGAGUCGACCCCUAAGGCGAGGCCGAAAGGCGUAGUCGAUGGGAAACAGGUUAAUAUUCCUGUACUUGGUGUUACUGCGAAGGGGGGACGGAGAAGGCUAUGUUGGCCGGGCGACGGUUGUCCCGGUUUAAGCGUGUAGGCUGGUUUUCCAGGCAAAUCCGGAAAAUCAAGGCUGAGGCGUGAUGACGAGGCACUACGGUGCUGAAGCAACAAAUGCCCUGCUUCCAGGAAAAGCCUCUAAGCAUCAGGUAACAUCAAAUCGUACCCCAAACCGACACAGGUGGUCAGGUAGAGAAUACCAAGGCGCUUGAGAGAACUCGGGUGAAGGAACUAGGCAAAAUGGUGCCGUAACUUCGGGAGAAGGCACGCUGAUAUGUAGGUGAAGUCCCUCGCGGAUGGAGCUGAAAUCAGUCGAAGAUACCAGCUGGCUGCAACUGUUUAUUAAAAACACAGCACUGUGCAAACACGAAAGUGGACGUAUACGGUGUGACGCCUGCCCGGUGCCGGAAGGUUAAUUGAUGGGGUCAGCGCAAGCGAAGCUCUUGAUCGAAGCCCCGGUAAACGGCGGCCGUAACUAUAACGGUCCUAAGGUAGCGAAAUUCCUUGUCGGGUAAGUUCCGACCUGCACGAAUGGCGUAAUGAUGGCCAGGCUGUCUCCACCCGAGACUCAGUGAAAUUGAACUCGCUGUGAAGAUGCAGUGUACCCGCGGCAAGACGGAAAGACCCCGUGAACCUUUACUAUAGCUUGACACUGAACAUUGAGCCUUGAUGUGUAGGAUAGGUGGGAGGCUUUGAAGUGUGGACGCCAGUCUGCAUGGAGCCGACCUUGAAAUACCACCCUUUAAUGUUUGAUGUUCUAACGUGGACCCGUGAUCCGGGUUGCGGACAGUGUCUGGUGGGUAGUUUGACUGGGGCGGUCUCCUCCUAAAGAGUAACGGAGGAGCACGAAGGUUGGCUAAUCCUGGUCGGACAUCAGGAGGUUAGUGCAAUGGCAUAAGCCAGCUUGACUGCGAGCGUGACGGCGCGAGCAGGUGCGAAAGCAGGUCAUAGUGAUCCGGUGGUUCUGAAUGGAAGGGCCAUCGCUCAACGGAUAAAAGGUACUCCGGGGAUAACAGGCUGAUACCGCCCAAGAGUUCAUAUCGACGGCGGUGUUUGGCACCUCGAUGUCGGCUCAUCACAUCCUGGGGCUGAAGUAGGUCCCAAGGGUAUGGCUGUUCGCCAUUUAAAGUGGUACGCGAGCUGGGUUUAGAACGUCGUGAGACAGUUCGGUCCCUAUCUGCCGUGGGCGCUGGAGAACUGAGGGGGGCUGCUCCUAGUACGAGAGGACCGGAGUGGACGCAUCACUGGUGUUCGGGUUGUCAUGCCAAUGGCACUGCCCGGUAGCUAAAUGCGGAAGAGAUAAGUGCUGAAAGCAUCUAAGCACGAAACUUGCCCCGAGAUGAGUUCUCCCUGACUCCUUGAGAGUCCUGAAGGAACGUUGAAGACGACGACGUUGAUAGGCCGGGUGUGUAAGCGCAGCGAUGCGUUGAGCUAACCGGUACUAAUGAACCGUGAGGCUUAACCU
This 2900-nucleotide ribosomal RNA is filed under the name Escherichia coli. Its description in RNAcentral is "23S ribosomal RNA". It matches the Rfam family "Bacterial large subunit ribosomal RNA". Lineage: Bacteria; Pseudomonadati; Pseudomonadota; Gammaproteobacteria; Enterobacterales; Enterobacteriaceae. The record is from RNAcentral.